AAAGCUAAAAGCAUUUAAUUUUUAAUUAAAAUAAGAAAAAUAUAAUUCUCUAAUAA
RNAcentral lists this transfer RNA (56 nucleotides) under Nothopoda sp. RNAcentral describes it as "tRNA-Lys". Lineage: Eukaryota; Metazoa; Arthropoda; Arachnida; Trombidiformes; Eriophyidae. The record is from RNAcentral.